Molecule: ribosomal RNA, 468 nt
Filed under: uncultured bacterium
Lineage: Bacteria
Description: partial 16S ribosomal RNA
Rfam family: Bacterial small subunit ribosomal RNA
Source: RNAcentral
GACGAACGCUGGCGGCGUGCUUAACACAUGCAAGUCGAACGGAAAGGCCCUGCUUUUGUGGGGUGCUCGAGUGGCGAACGGGUGAGUAACACGUGAGUAACCUGCCCUUGACUUUGGGAUAACUUCAGGAAACUGGGGCUAAUACCGGAUAGGAGCUCCUGCUGCAUGGUGGGGGUUGGAAAGUUUCGGCGGUUGGGGAUGGACUCGCGGCUUAUCAGCUUGUUGGUGGGGUAGUGGCUUACCAAGGCUUUGACGGGUAGCCGGCCUGAGAGGGUGACCGGCCACAUUGGUACUGAGAUACGCCCCAGACUCCUACGGGAGGCAGCAGUGGGGAAUAUUGCACAAUGGGCGGAAGCCUGAUGCAGCAACGCCGCGUUCGGGAUGACGUCCUUCGGGUUGUAAACCGCUUUCGCCUGUGACGAAGCGUUAGUGACGGUAAUGGGUAAAGAAGCACCGGCUAACUACGUG